UAGGGAAUCUUCGGCAAUGGGGGGAACCCUGACCGAGCAACGCCGCGUGAGUGAAGAAGGUUUUCGGAUCGUAAAGCUCUGUUGUUAAGGAAGAACGAGUGUGAGAAUGGAAAGUUCAUGCUGUGACGGUACUUAACCAGAAAGGGACGGCUAACUACGUGCCAGCAGCCGCGGUAAUACGUAGGUCCCGAGCGUUGUCCGGAUUUAUUGGGCGUAAAGCGAGCGCAGGCGGUUAGAAAAGUCUGAAGUGAAAGGCAGUGGCUCAACCAUUGUAGGCUUUGGAAACUGUUUAACUUGAGUGCAGAAGAGGAAAGUGGAAUUCCAUGUGUAGCGGUGAAAUGCGCAGAGAUAUGGAGGAACACCAGUGGCGAAGGCGACUUGCUGGUCUGUAACUGACGCUGAGGCUCGAAAGCGUGGGGAGCGAACAGG
RNAcentral lists this ribosomal RNA (429 nucleotides) under Bacteroidota bacterium. RNAcentral describes it as "Bacteroidetes bacterium partial 16S ribosomal RNA". It matches the Rfam family "Bacterial small subunit ribosomal RNA", at positions 355 to 776 of the family's 1533-position model. Lineage: Bacteria; Pseudomonadati; Bacteroidota. The record is from RNAcentral.